Molecule: long non-coding RNA, 1064 nt
Organism: Lutra lutra (Eurasian river otter)
Lineage: Eukaryota; Metazoa; Chordata; Mammalia; Carnivora; Mustelidae
Exons: 3
Source: RefSeq, a predicted model, not a curated record
UCCAAUGAGUGAGAAGGGAAAAAGACAUAGAAGUGGGAGACACCUGGAAAGUUUUCAGGGGCCAGGCCUGGGAGGGGAUGCACGUCACUUUCUUUCACGUUCCAUGAUCCAGAACCCAGUUUUAUGACCACAUCUGACUUGCAAGGGGUCUGGGAGAUAUAGCCUCUUGGGUUAUGGGAGCAUUGUGGAUUCUUGCUGUGGUUCAAUUUUGCCACCUGGAAAGUAGAGAUGCAGUUCACAAGUUUGCGAAUUAUCCUUCCCUGCCUACAACCCUUGGGUGUGGCUGUAUAUGCCUUCAUAUCGCACAUGUGGCAUCAGAUAAGCCAGGCAGAAAAUCUGCUCUAAGAACAGUUUUGCAACUGUUGGCUCCCGUCAAGUAAGACUACGAGAAAAAAGGUGACUAAUUCUGCAACUCGCAGAGAAGAUUCUGGACAAAGACACAAGACUAGUAGCAUUGUCUUAUUUAUUUAUGUAAUUCAAACAUUUUGCUGAUAAAACUUUUGUCCAUGACUAUCCUAGCAACAAAAUUUUACUCAAAAUAUUUCACUAUGAAAUGGUGUUGCAACUUCAGUGUAGUUUUUAUGAAUGGAGUGAUUUUCAUAAAGCAAAUCUUACUCUUAAAAUGGCAGAUUCAGUGACCAAAAGUGAUUAAAAAAAAAAAAAAAGCUUCCCCCUCCCCAUGCUAAUCCAUGAGACCAUUUGGAUCAAACUGAGUUUUGGAUCUGGGCUAGACAAGGGAAAGAGAGUAGCUCAUUCCUAAGUACCCGGAACAGGCGAAUAGGACACCCCAAACUGACACAACCAAGAAAGGCCGUGAAGAAUUACGUUCACCCAGCAGCUCUAGGAAGGUGUAGACUGGAUGAAUCUGACCGAAAGCGUGUGCUCCUUUACCACAGUGCUAUUCCUCGGGUGUCCUAAUUGCAGGAGCUACAAAAUCAGUCCCUGUUUCUAUCCUCCCCCAUCUCACCUGUCGGCCUUCCUGCAGUAGCCUUGGGAGAGAUCCUGAGCUUUUCGUAGUCUAUGGAUUUAGUUUUGCGUCACUCUUUUGAUGAAUGGAAUAUAAU